UCUUAAAGGAAGAUAGUGCAGGAGAUUGCAGUUCUGGGCACCUGCUUUCUGGCCUUGGCAGAACACGAUGCACUUUGAAUGGGGGAGAAUCUUUCCUUGGGCAGAUGAUAGCGUGUGCUGCUGACUGAGCCAGCUAUGGCAGUUGAGUGCAGAGCUGUAGCUUGAGGAAAUGCAUGUGCUCCAUGGGGAAUGUGCCUCUCAAGCCAGGACAAUGGGGGAAGAGAUCAUGGGGUGUAAGUCUGAAGAGACAUCAGUGCUAUGGACAGCCUAAUGGCUGACUACUGUAUAACCAGAUGCAUGGCCACUCCAUAACAGCCCAUAAGCCCUGCCCACGUACCCAGCGGUUCACUCUGAGCUCUGUUCAUGCAGUCUUUAAGUCGUGAUACCCUGUCUCUUCUUUUGCCUUCAUCAGAAAGCUCAACUACAACUACUGUGGAAUCAUCUACCAUAUCUGGAUCACCAGCAACAGAAACCACACCUACAAGUCCUGGGAACAGUUCUGCCAUCUCUACAACACCAUCAACAGACGGAAAUACAACUGCGUCAACUGGGAAUGCUACUAUGGUCCCUUCUUCACCAGUAACACAAGGUAAUUAUGAAAAUUCCCUUCAGCCCUCUGUGCGAGCAAUCCUCAGUUGCAGGAGCUACAGAGAGCACAAGCAGCACUGUGUCUUCCUGCCCAGAGGGUACACACUUAUCAAGAAAUGCAGGAAGUUGUUGUGCUUCUUUGGAGCCUGGUCAAAGAAGGAACACACAGUGGUUCCCCAAUGGUAUAGUGAAGAAGUGCAGGGAGUUAUUGCAAGGCAAUGCAUGAUUGCCCAUGGCUGA
Molecule: long non-coding RNA, 828 nt
Filed under: Coturnix japonica (Japanese quail)
Lineage: Eukaryota; Metazoa; Chordata; Aves; Galliformes; Phasianidae
Description: lncRNA (ENSCJPG00005021047.1)
Source: RNAcentral